RNAcentral lists this ribosomal RNA (493 nucleotides) under uncultured bacterium. Its description in RNAcentral is "bacterial SSU rRNA". It matches the Rfam family "Bacterial small subunit ribosomal RNA", at positions 23 to 518 of the family's 1533-position model. The record is from RNAcentral.
CUCAGGAUGAACGCUGGCGGCGUGCUUAACACAUGCAAGUCGAACGGACUCAGCCGAUGAGAUCUCGGAUGGAUUUGACUGAAGUUAGUGGCGGACGGGUGAGUAACGCGUGGGGAACCUGCCCCAUACCGGGGGACAACAGCUGGAAACGGCUGCUAAUACCGCAUAAGCGCACGGUGUGGCAUCACACAGUGUGAAAAACUCCGGUGGUAUGGGAUGGCCCCGCGUUGGAUUAGGCAGUUGGCGGGGUAACGGCCCACCAAACCGACGAUCCAUAGCCGACCUGAGAGGGUGACCGGCCACAUUGGGACUGAGACACGGCCCAAACUCCUGCGGGAGGCAGCAGUGGGGAAUAUUGCACAAUGGGGGAAACCCUGAUGCAGCCGACGCCGCGUGAGUGAAGAAGUAUUUCGGUAUGUAAAGCUCUAUCAGCAGGGAAGAAGAUGACGGUACCUGCAGAAGAAGCCCCGGCUAACUACGUGCCAGCCGCAGC